Molecule: ribosomal RNA, 497 nt
Filed under: uncultured bacterium
Lineage: Bacteria
Description: partial 16S ribosomal RNA
Rfam family: Bacterial small subunit ribosomal RNA
Source: RNAcentral
GAUGAACGCUGGCGGCGUGCCUAAUACAUGCAAGUCGAGCGAACGGACGAGAAGCUUGCUUCUCUGGUGUUAGCGGCGGACGGGUGAGUAACACGUGGAUAACCUACCUAUAAGACUGGGAUAACUUCGGGAAACCGGAGCUAAUACCGGAUAAUAUUUUGAACCGCAUGGUUCAAAAGUGAAAGACGGUCUUGCUGUCACUUAUAGAUGGAUCCGCGCUGCAUUAGCUAGUUGGUAAGGUAACGGCUUACCAAGGCAACGAUGCAUAGCCGACCUGAGAGGGUGAUCGGCCACACUGGAACGGAGACACGGUCCAGACUCCUACGGGAGGCAGCAGUAGGGAAUCUUCCGCAAUGGGCGAAAGCCUGACGGAGCAACGCCGCGUGAGUGAUGAAGGUCUUCGGAUCGUAAAACUCUGUUAUUAGGGAAGAACAUAUGUGUAAGUAACUGUGCACAUCUUGACGGUACCUAAUCAGAAAGCCACGGCUAACUACGUG